This 435-nucleotide ribosomal RNA is filed under the name uncultured bacterium. RNAcentral's name for it is "partial 16S ribosomal RNA". It matches the Rfam family "Bacterial small subunit ribosomal RNA", at positions 29 to 507 of the family's 1533-position model. The record is from RNAcentral.
AGCGAACGCUGGCGGCAGGCUUAACACAUGCAAGUCGAGCGGGCAUCUUCGGAUGUCAGCGGCAGACGGGUGCGUAACACGUGGGAACGUACCCUUCGGUUCGGAACAACUCUGGGAAACUGGAGCUAAUACCGGAUACGCCCUUAUGGGGAAAGGUUUACUGCCGAAGGAUCGGCCCGCGUCUGAUUAGCUAGUUGGUGGGGUAACGGCCUACCAAGGCGACGAUCAGUGGCUGGUCUGAGAGGAUGAUCAGCCACACUGGGACUGAGACACGGCCCAGACUCCUACGGGAGGCAGCAGUGGGGAAUAUUGGACAAUGGGCGCAAGCCUGAUCCAGCCAUGCCGCGUGAGUGAUGAAGGCCUUAGGGUUGUAAAGCUCUCUUGUCCGGGACGAUAAUGACGGUACCGGAAGAAUAAGCCCCGGCUAACUUCGUG